AUGCGCCCCAAUCCAGAUGUACGGGCUGACGGGAAUAUCUACCUAGAGAGAGCAUCAGUAAGCGGUGUGCUAGUCAGAGACGGAAGCGUUCCAAGUUAUACCCAUGCUCUAAAGAACAAAACAUCUACUAGUACUUAUGGCAAAAAGUACCUUUCCCAUGAUAUGGUAAGUCACAGUAGUCUAAGCCAAUUACUAAAUGGUACAGAACUAAUUAUGUCUAAAAUGGAGGUUUCUCUUCCUGUGAAUAUGAUGAAUAAGCAUUGGUACGUGGCGGUUGUCAAUGCCAAAAAAAGAGCAGUGCAAGUUUUGGAUUCGAUGCCAUUAACAAUAAACAGUUUAAGAAAGCCCACACCCGGAACUAGAAAACAUGGUACAUUUUUCAAUGCUUAG
Molecule: ribosomal RNA, 390 nt
Filed under: Triticum aestivum (bread wheat)
Lineage: Eukaryota; Viridiplantae; Streptophyta; Magnoliopsida; Poales; Poaceae
Description: partial small subunit ribosomal RNA
Source: RNAcentral